Paramuricea clavata is the source of this 498-nucleotide non-coding RNA. NCBI's taxonomy places the organism in Eukaryota, Metazoa, Cnidaria, Anthozoa, Malacalcyonacea, Plexauridae. The record is from the annotation of a GenBank genome assembly.
GUUCAUUGUAGUGAAAUUUUAUAAUAGAUAUAGUACAAUCUUAUCUACAAACAUGCAUGCUUUGCCAUUCAACGGCUGUGAUCAAUGCAGCUUAUUAGUAUGAUAUAACACCCUUUCCCACUUUUUUGGGACAAGUUCGCAAAUGAAGAACAAAAUCUAUUUAUUCUCAGCCCCCCCCCAAAAAAAAAAGUUAGCAAUCUUUAUUCAAUAUGAACAACCCAGCUCAAAAUGUGACAAGGAAAAGCUUGAGCAUGUUUGUCUUAUACUAUACAUACUGGCAAUAGAUCACUCAAAAAUAGAAACUAUAAUUAUAUAUAACUAACAUAACAAAUUGGAAUUGAACUUGUACCUUUCUCACAAAGGUCAGUAAUUAUCUUAAAAAAGUACUGGUAUAUGCAUGCUGCAUAUCCUAAAUUUCAAAGCUCACAAACAUGUCUUCAGCUGACAUAAUAUGGUCACAUUUUGAAACAACUAACUCAAUGCAAACUGUGAUUGCCA